This 253-nucleotide ribosomal RNA is filed under the name uncultured bacterium. RNAcentral's name for it is "partial 16S ribosomal RNA". It matches the Rfam family "Bacterial small subunit ribosomal RNA", at positions 524 to 776 of the family's 1533-position model. The record is from RNAcentral.
UACAGAGGUCUCAACCGUUGUUCGGAUUCAUUGGGCGUAAAGGGUGCGUAGGCGGUCGCGUAAGUCAGGUGUGAAAUCCCGGGGCUCAACCCCGGAACUGCACUUGAUACUGCGUGGCUAGGGUACUGGAGAGGAGACUGGAAUUUACGGUGUAGCAGUGAAAUGCGUAGAUAUCGUAAGGAAGACCAGUGGCGAAGGCGAGUCUCUGGACAGUUACCGACGCUGAGGCACGAAGGCCAGGGGAGCAAACGGG